CCUACGGGAGGCAGCAGUGAGGAAUAUUGGUCAAUGGACGAGAGUCUGAACCAGCCAAGUAGCGUGAAGGAUGACUGCCCUACGGGUUGUAAACUUCUUUUAUAAAGGAAUAAAGUUAUGCACGUGUGCCUUUUUGUAUGUACUUUAUGAAUAAGGAUCGGCUAACUCCGUGCCAGCAGCCGCGGUAAUACGGAGGAUCCGAGCGUUAUCCGGAUUUAUUGGGUUUAAAGGGUGCGUAGAUGGGUUGUUAAGUCAGUUGUGAAAGGUUGCGGCUCAACCGUCAAAUUGCAAUUGAUACUGGCAGUCGUGAGUACAGUUGAGGUAGGCGGAAUGCGUGGUGUAGCGGUGAAAUGCUUAGAUAUCACGAAGAACUCCGAUUGCGAAGGCAGCAUACUAAACUGCCUCUGACAUUGAUGCUCGAAAGUGUGGGUAUCAAACAGGAUUAGAUACCCGUGUAGUC
This 460-nucleotide ribosomal RNA is filed under the name uncultured bacterium. Its description in RNAcentral is "partial 16S ribosomal RNA". It matches the Rfam family "Bacterial small subunit ribosomal RNA", at positions 338 to 795 of the family's 1533-position model. The record is from RNAcentral.